GUGGGGAAUAUUGGACAAUGGGCGAAAGCCUGAUCCAGCCAUGCCGCGUGUGUGAAGAAGGUCUUCGGAUUGUAAAGCACUUUAAGUUGGGAGGAAGGGCAGUAAGUUAAUACCUUGCUGUUUUGACGUUACCGACAGAAUAAGCACCGGCUAACUUCGUGCCAGCAGCCGCGGUAAUACGAAGGGUGCAAGCGUUAAUCGGAAUUACUGGGCGUAAAGCGCGCGUAGGUGGUUUUGUAAGUUGGAGGUGAAAUCCCCGGGCUCAACCUGGGAACUGCCUCCAAAACUGCAUGACUAGAGUACGGUAGAGGGUAGUGGAAUUUCCUGUGUAGCGGUGAAAUGCGUAGAUAUAGGAAGGAACAUCAGUGGCGAAGGCGACCACCUGGACUGAUACUGACACUGAGGUGCGAAAGCGUGGGGAGCAAACAGGAUUAGAAACCCGUGUAGUCC
This 450-nucleotide ribosomal RNA is filed under the name uncultured bacterium. RNAcentral describes it as "partial 16S ribosomal RNA". It matches the Rfam family "Bacterial small subunit ribosomal RNA", at positions 354 to 796 of the family's 1533-position model. The record is from RNAcentral.